Molecule: ribosomal RNA, 162 nt
Filed under: Primula egaliksensis
Lineage: Eukaryota; Viridiplantae; Streptophyta; Magnoliopsida; Ericales; Primulaceae
Description: 5.8S ribosomal RNA
Rfam family: 5.8S ribosomal RNA
About the family: 5.8S ribosomal RNA (5.8S rRNA) is a component of the large subunit of the eukaryotic ribosome. It is transcribed by RNA polymerase I as part of the 45S precursor that also contains 18S and 28S rRNA.
Source: RNAcentral
AAAACGACUAUCGGCAACGGAUAUCUAGGCUCUCGCAUCGAUGAAGAACGUAGCAAAAUGCGAUACUUGGUGUGAAUUGCAGAAUCCCGUGAACCAUCGAGUUUUUGAACGCAAGUUGCGCCCGAAGCCAUUAGGCUGAGGGCACGUCUGCCUGGGCGUCUC